RNAcentral lists this transfer RNA (97 nucleotides) under Musca domestica (house fly). It matches the Rfam family "tRNA". From Rfam's summary of the family: Transfer RNA (tRNA) molecules are approximately 80 nucleotides in length. Their secondary structure includes four short double-helical elements and three loops (D, anti-codon, and T loops). Lineage: Eukaryota; Metazoa; Arthropoda; Insecta; Diptera; Muscidae. The record is from Rfam by way of RNAcentral.
CCUUCGAUAGCUCAGUUGGUAGAGCGGUGGACUGUAGAUGAAAUAUGAAAAUGAAUGAGAAAUCCAUAGGUCGCUGGUUCAAAUCCGGCUCGAAGGA